Triticum urartu is the source of this 434-nucleotide non-coding RNA. NCBI's taxonomy places the organism in Eukaryota, Viridiplantae, Streptophyta, Magnoliopsida, Poales, Poaceae. The record is from RefSeq and is a predicted model, not a curated record.
GUUUUGGCUCAAGGAAUGUGGCCAAAGUGCAACUGGCGCUUUACUUGAUUACAUUGCUCAAAACCAUAUUGCGGCUCCCUUUUCUUGCUAAUCAAGCUGCUUCUGAAAAUAAUUAUGGUGAUGUUGUCCAUAGGAUUUCUUGUGCUUCAAAUUUUGUUGAUCGAAAGCGGAGUAAGGAGCCCAUCUUUCAUGGAAUCAUCUACAACGAUGCACGACUGGAUCGAAUUGAAGAGCAAAUAUAUUUUGGCGAGGAAGGACAAAUGUUAAUUAGGUUUCAUUUUAAUUAGGCUUCAUCUUUGUUGCAGUCAGUUGAUUUCAGAAAGUAUUACAUUCAGAUUAGUUGAAGAUAGACAAAAGCCUGAAUUCUUAUUAGCUGGUGGUUGAGCCAUACAAACGUUGUUCUAAUUUCUACAAGGCAAGUCGAGAUUGACUUU